GACGAAAGCUGGCGGCAGGCUUAACACAUGCAAGUCGCGCGAGCGGCGGACGGGUGAGUAAUGUCUGGGAAACGGCCUGAGGGAGGGGGAUAACUACUGGAAACGGUAGCUAAUACCGCAUACCAUCAGAUGUGCCCAGAUGGGAUUAGCUAGUAGGUGGGGUAAUGGCUCACGUAGGCGACGAUCCCGAGCUGGUCUGAGAGGAGGACCAGCCACACUGGAACUGAUACACGGUCCAGACUCCGACGGGAGGCAGCAGUGGGGAAUAUUGCACAAUGGGCGCAAGCCUGAUGCAGCCAUGCCGCGUGUGUGAAGAAGGCCUUCGGGUUGUAAAGCACUUUCAGCGAGGAGGCGUUACUCGCAGAAGAAGCACCGGCUAACUCCGUGCCAGCAGCCGCGGUAAUUC
RNAcentral lists this ribosomal RNA (406 nucleotides) under uncultured bacterium. RNAcentral's name for it is "partial 16S ribosomal RNA". It matches the Rfam family "Bacterial small subunit ribosomal RNA", at positions 28 to 526 of the family's 1533-position model. The record is from RNAcentral.